Molecule: ribosomal RNA, 638 nt
Filed under: Lasmenia sp. QY-2019a
Lineage: Eukaryota; Fungi; Ascomycota; Sordariomycetes; Diaporthales; Apoharknessiaceae
Description: partial large subunit ribosomal RNA
Rfam family: Eukaryotic large subunit ribosomal RNA
Source: RNAcentral
AUUGCCCCAGUAACGGCGAGUGAAGCGGCAACAGCUCAAAUUUGAAAUCUGGCCUCGCGGCCCGAGUUGUAAUUUGCAGAGGAUGCUUCUGGCGCGGUGCCCACCGAGUUCCCUGGAACGGGACGCCAUAGAGGGUGAGAGCCCCGUCUGGUGGGACACCAAGCCUGUGUGAAGCUCCUUCAACGAGUCGAGUAGUUUGGGAAUGCUGCUCUAAAUGGGAGGUAAAUCUCUUCUAAAGCUAAAUACCGGCCAGAGACCGAUAGCGCACAAGUAGAGUGAUCGAAAGAUGAAAAGCACCUUGAAAAGGGGGUUAAACAGUACGUGAAAUUGUUGAAAGGGAAGCGCUUGUGACCAGACAUGCGCCCGGCGGCUCAUCCGGCGUUCGCGCCGGUGCACUCCGCCGGGCUGCAGGCCAGCAUCGGUUCUCGUGGGGGGACAAGAACGGUAGGAAUGUGGCUCCCUUCGGGGAGUGUUAUAGCCUGCCGUACGAUACCCUCGUGGGGACCGAGGCCCGCGCAUCUUGCAAGGAUGCUGGCAUAAUGGUUACUAGCGACCCGUCUUGAAACACGGACCAAGGAGUCGUCCAUUAGAGCGAGCGUUUGGGUGUCAAACCCGCACGCGUAAUGAAAGUGAAACUU